Molecule: unclassified non-coding RNA, 664 nt
Filed under: Hevea brasiliensis (rubber tree)
Lineage: Eukaryota; Viridiplantae; Streptophyta; Magnoliopsida; Malpighiales; Euphorbiaceae
Source: RNAcentral
CCCGCAAGCCUACUAUUUUUUCUACUAUCCUAAUCAAUUAAGAAUUUGAUCUACCAUUCUCAACAAUGAAUUAAUUUCAGCGUCGAUUACCAACACUGAUCGGUUUCCCAUUUACGACUUGUAUACCAGGAAAAGCCAGAAGCUGAAUAACUUCCCAUUUUGGUUGCAGCCGCCGACAUCACAAACGGAGAACUUAUCUGCCGGCCACGCCAGAAUAGUGAACGAUCAUAAUCAGCCCGUUUCUCGGGAUCGGAUAGAGUUUCAUAAGCUUCGUGUAUUUUUAUGAAUUCGAACGUCGUCUCCUUCUUUUGACCGUUAGCUGCAACAUCAGGAUGCAAAACUCUUGCCAGUCUCCGAUAAGCAGCCUUGAUCUCUAGACACGUCGCGCCCGUCUGAAUCCCAAGGACUUCGUAUAGGGAUCCUGGCGAUGCAAUGUGGGAAUGUGUUGUUGUUCUCUCGGCAGUGGUGGAGCAAGCGGAGGAGACACGGAGUGGACGGAAGCUGAAGCGAGGGGCUUGUUGACGGGGAACCGCCAUGNNNNNNNNNNGAGAGGAGGAGCUGCGAGGGGCAAAAGAAGACGCGAGGGGCUUGUGAACGGGAACCGUCGAUGGGCAAUCGUAAGCCAAUGAAAUGAGGAGAGGAGGAGCUGCGAGGGGCAAAAGAA